Molecule: ribosomal RNA, 726 nt
Filed under: Triticum aestivum (bread wheat)
Lineage: Eukaryota; Viridiplantae; Streptophyta; Magnoliopsida; Poales; Poaceae
Description: partial small subunit ribosomal RNA
Source: RNAcentral
AUGGAAGCGGUUCUUUCUGCGGUUACAGGUGACCUCGUUAGCAGAUUUUUCUCCUUUCUGAUAAGCAAAUACUCGGCUCUCACAUGCUCAGGGGAGACGCAUGUGGAUGUGGAGAGGUUGCAACAACUCUUGUUAAGAGCUCAAAUGGUUGUUGAGGAGGCAGAUGCGCGGUAUAUCACCAACUCUGGUAUGCUUCUACAACUGAAGAUGCUAGCUAGGGCUAUGUACCACGGUUAUUAUGCGCUAGACACUUUCAAGUGCAACCAACUCAUAAACAAAGAGGGCUCCAAGGAAGUGAUGGAUACUGGCUCAUUUGGAUCAUAUCUUGGCACUGCCCUGAAGCGCUUCCGCACAAACACUGAUGUAUCAAGUCACAAAGUUUAUAACAAGUGCGACCUAGAAGAUGCCUUGUUGAAUUUAGAGAUUGCCGUUUCUAAUAUCACAGAGUUUGUUAUACUUUUGGGUGGGUGCCAACCCAUGUUUCGCAGACCCUAUGAUACAUACCUUUACAUCAACAACUUCAUGUUCGGUCGCUGGACCGAGAAGCAACAAGUUAUAAACUUCUUGUUACAAUGCUUCCAUCUUGGUUCUCCGCCUGUGCUUGCCAUCAUCGGCGGCUUUCAAGUCGGGAAGAAAACUCUCGUCGCUCAUGUAUGCAAUGAUGAGAACGUCCGUAGAACUUCUCUUCAAUUUUGCACUUUAAUGAAGACAAUUUCUGUAGGAUAG